CCUGGCGGCUAUAGCGCGGUGGCACCACCUGAGCCCAUUCCGAACUCAGCAGUGAAACACCGUUGCGCCUAUGGUAGUGUGGGGUCUCCCCAUG
RNAcentral lists this ribosomal RNA (94 nucleotides) under Candidatus Regiella insecticola 5.15. Lineage: Bacteria; Pseudomonadati; Pseudomonadota; Gammaproteobacteria; Enterobacterales; Enterobacteriaceae. The record is from RNAcentral.